Ailuropoda melanoleuca (giant panda) is the source of this 74-nucleotide small nucleolar RNA. The record is from Ensembl. NCBI's taxonomy places the organism in Eukaryota, Metazoa, Chordata, Mammalia, Carnivora, Ursidae.
UGAACGUUUGGUGGCAACUGGUGGCAUAUAUGUCUGGAUGGUGAAUAAUAUGUGCCUGGGAGUCUGAGGUCCAA